Long non-coding RNA from Ailuropoda melanoleuca (giant panda), 1612 nucleotides. RefSeq lists it as uncharacterized. NCBI's taxonomy places the organism in Eukaryota, Metazoa, Chordata, Mammalia, Carnivora, Ursidae. The transcript has 3 exons. The record is from RefSeq and is a predicted model, not a curated record.
UGCUGAGCUGCGGGGGGUGGGGGUGAGGGUCCGGCCGGCAGGCGCCCUCGGGCAGGGAGGGGCGUGCCGGGGGCACCUGGGUCCGGCCCCGCACCUAGUGACCCCAGCGCCCAGCGUCCCUCCCUGGGCCUCGCAAAUCCACACUCGGGCAGUGGGGUCUCUGCAAAGACGCAGCCCGGCUCUCCAGAAGCAGAGACCCUCCCACGAGGAGAGGCCUGCUGGCCAGCCCGCCGCAUGGACAGCCGAGGACGGGGCCGACGGGAAACGGAUUCGGGCCGGAGUCACGAGGAAAAGCGACUCGCAGAAGCUGAUUUAUUCCGUGGUCUGCACGGGAGGCGGGGCUGAGGGUGAGCGUGCACAGCGCCCGUCUGCCAGGCCGGGGUCCCCCGGAAGCAAGACGUUUACUGGGCAUCUAUUCCGCGCCCCAGACCGCACCAGAGCUUUUCUCCGUGACCUCGGGGAGCCAGAGGAACCCCAGCUCGCAGGGCCAGCGAGGUCCAGGACAGCUGCAUGGCCUUGAAGUGGACGGCGGGGCCGGUGGUCCGCGAGCGCUUGACGGCCGGCUCGUCCGCGGAGCGCGGGGCCGCGGAGCUGUAGAAGACGGCCAUGCUCUGUAGCGACAGCCGGUGCACGAUGUGAACGCUGCCAUCGUGGAAGGCCAGGGCCAGCCCUGCAGGCGGGAGCGCGGCAAGGCUCGGCCGGCGGGUGUUGGCAAACGUGAUGUAGGCAGAGACUCACACGGUGCUCCUGUGAGCACUGCAGGGACACGCGUGCCACGGGGGAGACAAGGUGCCCAGCCGACACUCAGCACCCCAAGCCACCUGGAGGCUGACAGCAGACACGCAAACCGGGCCGAGCAACAGAGCGGCCCCCCCAGCACAGCGUGGGGCUGGUUUGUCACAUGGCGACAGCUGACUAUCACAGAGCCUCUCCCUGCCAACCCUCCGCCUUGAGAGCCCUGCCCUGAAUGGCUUGUCACAGCUUACAAACCUGCCAUGAACCCAGGGAGAGAGUCCCGGAAAGCGCUGAGGCCCAGAGAGCACUGAGGCUGCCCAAGGCGACAGAGUGUAAUUCAGUACCCAACACGGACAACAGAGCUGUAACGGCAACCACGGCAGACGUCCAGGCUGCACGCCGAGCCACCUGUACCCGGAUGGGGCAUAAACACUAGGUCACGUCUGUGGCCAGGCUGACCCUGGGGCUGGUCACCCUCUGCGCCGGGACGGCGGCCCCACACACCUGUGGCCCUGCCCGCCACAUGCGGUCACGCCGGCUGCCACCGACAAGCUCACUGAGGACGCGGGGUCAGGGGAAGAGGGCAGCUGAGACCCUCUUUGCGUUAAUUGUUCCGCCCCCCCAGUGCGCAGCUUAUGGAAUGCCCCAUGGGGGCAGGCGCCGCGGGGGGCCUCCUGACACCGUUCAUUAGCAGCUCCCGCCUAGCGCCCUCCCGCACAGCCAAGGCUCCAGGCUCCAUUAGCGCUCGUCGGCAGAGAGCCCGGCUCUCGUCUACGGGAAAGCAUCUCUGUGUGGGCCCCGGGGGGGUGAAAAUCCAGGGGCUUUUCUGACCUCUCCGUCACUUCAGGCUGGGCCAGCGCAUCCCAGGGUCCAUAGG